CCUACGGGAGGCAGCAGUGAGGAAUAUUGGUCAAUGGGCGCUAGCCUGAACCAGCCAAGUAGCGUGAAGGAUGACUGCCCUAUGGGUUGUAAACUUCUUUUAUAUGGGAAUAAAGUGCAGCAUGUAUACUGCUUUGCAUGUACUUUAUGAAUAAGGAUCGGCUAACUCCGUUCCAGCAGCCGCGGUACUACGGAGGAUCCGAGCGUUAUCCGGAUUUAUUGGGUUUAAAGGGAGCGUAGGCGGGUUGUUAAGUCAGUUGUGAAAGUUUGCGGCUCAACCGUAAAAUUGCAGUUGAUACUGGCAUCCUUGAGUACAGUAGAGGUAGGCGGAAGUCGUGGUGUAGCGGUGAAAUGCUUAGAUAUCACGAAGAACUCCGAUUGCGAAGGCAGCCUGCUGGACUGUAACUGACGCUGAUGCUCGAAAGUGUGGGUAGCAAACAGGAUUAGAUACCCGAGUAGUC
This 460-nucleotide ribosomal RNA is filed under the name uncultured bacterium. RNAcentral describes it as "partial 16S ribosomal RNA". It matches the Rfam family "Bacterial small subunit ribosomal RNA", at positions 338 to 795 of the family's 1533-position model. The record is from RNAcentral.